GGAGAGAUGCCAGAGUUGGUCGAUUGGGACGGACUCGAAAUCCGUAGACUCCGCAAGGGGUCCGAGGGUUCGAAUCCCUCUCUCUCCU
RNAcentral lists this transfer RNA (88 nucleotides) under Fibrobacteraceae bacterium. RNAcentral's name for it is "tRNA-Ser". It matches the Rfam family "tRNA". Rfam says of the family: Transfer RNA (tRNA) molecules are approximately 80 nucleotides in length. The record is from RNAcentral. Lineage: Bacteria; Pseudomonadati; Fibrobacterota; Fibrobacteria; Fibrobacterales; Fibrobacteraceae.